GGGGCUAUGGCGCAGCUGGUAGCGCAUCUGCUUUGCAAGCAGAGGGUCGCCGGUUCGAACCCGGCUAGCUCCACAA
This 76-nucleotide transfer RNA is filed under the name Bifidobacterium coryneforme. Its description in RNAcentral is "tRNA-Ala". It matches the Rfam family "tRNA". Rfam says of the family: Transfer RNA (tRNA) molecules are approximately 80 nucleotides in length. Their secondary structure includes four short double-helical elements and three loops (D, anti-codon, and T loops). RNAcentral also lists the same sequence under 5 other names. The record is from RNAcentral. Lineage: Bacteria; Bacillati; Actinomycetota; Actinomycetes; Bifidobacteriales; Bifidobacteriaceae.